Molecule: long non-coding RNA, 201 nt
Filed under: Lathyrus oleraceus (garden pea)
Lineage: Eukaryota; Viridiplantae; Streptophyta; Magnoliopsida; Fabales; Fabaceae
Description: Pisum sativum (pea) long non-coding RNA (PSAT_LNC035193)
Source: RNAcentral
UUUCAACUCCUCUCCUCGAUUAUUUGAAUACGAGUUCUCUUACUUGGUUAGUCAAAUAAUCGUCAUUUCUAUCUACCUAAGCACAAACAAAUCGAAUCAUUUUAUAAUAAGAAACCAGAAAAGGGAGAUGACUUUGAGUUUUCAAUUUUUCUCCUCGAUUAUUUGAAUACAAGUUCUCUUACUUGGUUAGUCAAAUAAUUG